GGUUCCCGCCUUCUGCCGCUCCCGUCUGGUCCCUGGGGGCCCGGGCACCUAACGGCUGGGGUGGGGCGAGUGCACCCGGCCUCACCUCCUCCUCUCUGCACCGACCGCAGCCAGGCCGGCGCCCCGCAAGGGAGAGGGCAGAGCCCGGGUGCUGCAUUCCGAGCCCGGGAUGACAGACUCAGCAGGUGGACCGGACCUCAGCUAGAUAACUUGUAGGGGUGACGGACACGAAAACAACAGCCUGUGUCCGGGACUAACGUACAUUGUGAGAGGAGGAAGCAGGUCUCAACUGGUCUUUGGACUGUGUUCCUGCUUUGAACAGGAAACUGUACCAGGCCCCCAGACCUUAGCACAGCUGACUCCAUGAUGGAAGUACCAUUCAGGCUGUAAAACUCAGAACCGAGCUGAGCACCCAGACAGCACCACCAGCCAAAAUGGAAAUAAAGACCUAAUCCAUCAAAGUCCACAGUUCUUCACAAGUCUCUAAAUAGACUAAGCCUUGUUUCUCGG
Long non-coding RNA from Peromyscus leucopus (white-footed mouse), 510 nucleotides. RefSeq lists it as uncharacterized. The record is from RefSeq and is a predicted model, not a curated record. The transcript has 2 exons. Lineage: Eukaryota; Metazoa; Chordata; Mammalia; Rodentia; Cricetidae.